UUAGUUAAAACCAAAGAGAGGUAUAUUAUUGUUAAUAAUAAAAUUGAGACAAAUUCUAACUAAC
This 64-nucleotide transfer RNA is filed under the name Bemisia tabaci. RNAcentral describes it as "tRNA-Asn". Lineage: Eukaryota; Metazoa; Arthropoda; Insecta; Hemiptera; Aleyrodidae. The record is from RNAcentral.